Long non-coding RNA from Gigantopelta aegis, 1165 nucleotides. RefSeq lists it as uncharacterized. The record is from RefSeq and is a predicted model, not a curated record. Lineage: Eukaryota; Metazoa; Mollusca; Gastropoda; Neomphalida; Peltospiridae. The transcript is spliced from 7 exons.
AAUAAAUUAAUUACACAUUUUAACACUCAAAUUUAAGUUGCGUUAGUGGGUUGGUACUAAUAGUGGCAUUCUCGCAUCACGGACAGCUGCUGGCUUCAGCAGGUACACAAUUGUCUCCCUUGUUCCAUUGUAGAUGUUAAUAGUAAUGAGAUAAAGGAAAAUAAGCCAGUGAGGUUAUUACAGGGUCACCAUGGGUCGGUACUGACAGUGGCGUUGUCGUCUGACGGAUAGCUGCUGGCUUCAGCAGUUGCAGAGUUCUGUUGUGUUCCACUUUGUGCAAAGCUGAAAUGAUCUUACUACCCGAUGACUCUACAGGCCCAUUAUUGAUGCUGUACACUGCACUGUGUGCCCUCCCUGAGAACUUUCUGCUGAAAGUUGUGUGUCUUGUUUUUUGACACCCCGCAACAGCCGGUGCUGGUAUGUUCAUGCAGAGACACAGGAGCCGGAAGUUUUGAACCCCAAUGGGCAUUAUAGUGAGACCGAUCUGCACACAUACAUUUGGCUGAGCUGCCUUACGGCCUCGGGACCUUUGGUUGGAAUUGUCCACCUCUGUGUACAAGUUGUACAUACUAGAGUGUGGGAAGGAAGGCUGGAGACGGAGGUGUUAAAGAAUAUCAACACGAAGUAUGACGGGUUACCGUCCACCAAUGACACUUUCACAGCCACUUUAAACGAUCUGCAGCAAAAUCAAAAAUGUUGUGGUUGGAGAAACGUGACAAAUUUUGAGAUGACGGGAAACCAGUGGAAUAGAACUUUGUCAAACGGAAGUGCCGCCAUCAUACUGGAAGCGUGCUGUAAACCGGCCAACGAGACGGAGACGUUCAGAUGUGUUACAGCGCCCUCUGUUGACAACUCCUAUGUAAAUAAGUUUUUUGACACCCCGCAACAGACGGUGCUAGUAUGUUCAUGCAGAGACACAGGAGCCGGAAGUUUUGAACCCCAAUGGGCAUUAUAGUGAGACUGAUCUGCACGGAUACAUUUGGCUGACCUGCCUUACGGCUUCGGGACUUUUGGUUGGAAUUGUCCACCUCAGUGUACAACACGUACUAAAGUGUGGGAAGGAAAGCUGGACACGGAGGUGUUAAAGAAUAUCACCACUAAGUACGACGGGUUACCGUCCACCAAUGACGCUUUCACAGCCGCUUUAAACGAUCUGCAGCAAAAU